GCUGGGUGUGGUGCCGUGUGCCUGUAAUCCCAGCUACUCGGGAGGCUGAGGCAGGAGAAUUGCUUGAGCCCGGGAGGCAGAGGUUGCAGUGAGCUGAGAUCAUGCCACUGCACACCAGCCUGGGUGACAGAGCAAGACUCUGUCUCAA
Unclassified non-coding RNA from Papio anubis (olive baboon), 148 nucleotides. It matches the Rfam family "Metazoan signal recognition particle RNA". From Rfam's summary of the family: The signal recognition particle (SRP) is a universally conserved ribonucleoprotein. The record is from Ensembl. NCBI's taxonomy places the organism in Eukaryota, Metazoa, Chordata, Mammalia, Primates, Cercopithecidae.